Molecule: unclassified non-coding RNA, 904 nt
Filed under: Hevea brasiliensis (rubber tree)
Lineage: Eukaryota; Viridiplantae; Streptophyta; Magnoliopsida; Malpighiales; Euphorbiaceae
Source: RNAcentral
AUUAAAUUUAAUGUUCUUAUGUGGUUUAGUAUGCUAAAAUUUUGGUUUAUUUGACCAAUUUUUUCAAUAUUUUAAUUUGGUUCAAUUUGAUCUAUUAAAUUUAUUUUAUUUAAUUUUUCAGAUUUUCAGAUGAAUUGAAUUGAAUCAACAGACACUCACCCCAUUGAAAAUACCAUACUUCUUAUUGUUGGGUUGUCUCGAGGCAAGCAGCGAAUGCUAUGGCUGCCAUGUUUGCUGAAAAAUCUAGAUGUUCAAAUUCAUCUUCUAUUAUAUAAGCUUUGUGAAUGCGUUGUUGCUAAUUGUCAGAAAAUUAAAACACAGGGAGAAAUAGAUUUACAGAGUAUGAACCUCAAAAACAGAGAGAAGAAAUAACACAUAAAUUAUCUUGAAUAACAAAACGCAAGAGAAGCUAAAAUGAAGAGAAAACACAAAUUUCAGAAAUAAAACAGAGGAAUACAAGUACAAAGAUUUAGUAAAAAUAUAAAUAAUUCUAACAAACUCCAACACUAAACCAAAAUAUAAGAAAAUUUUCUAAAGUACAACAAACUUAUUUAUUACUAUUUAUUUCUUGCACAUCUCACAGAAAUGUGAUCAUAUCUCACAUGAAACGUUAUGAAGCCAGUGAGGACAUUUUCUAUAGCUAAAAUAUUAUUUCCUCACUUUGUUUGUAGAAAAUGCUAGGCCCAAAUGUUGAAGAAACUAUUUCAACCAAGAGAGGAAACUGCAGUAGUGCAAAUAAAGUAACAGGUGCACAAGCUGUUAGGCCAAUUGGAAUUGUGAUCCAUUUCACUCUAUGAAACAAAACUAAGUGAAAGGCUGCAGUGAAUGCUGUGAGCAUGGAGGCUAUUGAAAAGAACAAUGUGAUGAGACCGAUGCUCAACCUCAUUGGUAAGGCUUUGAGAAA